Molecule: ribosomal RNA, 468 nt
Filed under: uncultured bacterium
Lineage: Bacteria
Description: partial 16S ribosomal RNA
Rfam family: Bacterial small subunit ribosomal RNA
Source: RNAcentral
GACGAACGCUGGCGGCGUGCUUAACACAUGCAAGUCGAACGGAAAGGCCCUGCUUUUGUGGGGUGCUCGAGUGGCGAACGGGUGAGUAACACGUGAGUAACCUGCCCUUGACUUUGGGAUAACUUCAGGAAACUGGGGCUAAUACCGGAUAGGAGCUCCUGCUGCAUGGUGGGGGUUGGAAAGUUUCGGCGGUUGGGGAUGGACUCGCGGCUUAUCAGCUUGUUGGUGGGGUAGUGGCUUACCAAGGCUUUGACGGGUAGCCGGCCUGAGAGGGUGACCGGCCACAUUGGGACUGAGAUACGGCCCAGACUCCUACGGGAAGCAGCAGUGGGGAAUAUUGCACGAUGGGCGGAAGCCUGAUGCAGCAACGCCGCGUGCGGGAUGACGGCCUUCGGGUUGUAAACCGCUUUCGCCUGUGACGAAGCGUGAGUGACGGUAAUGGGUAAAGAAGCACCGGCUAACUACGUG